ACGAAUCUUGAGGCAGACAACAGUCGUCUUCUACCUCAGACUAAAGUACCAAAAUAAUUCCCCCAUCUCUCUCUCCUCUCCCUUUCCACUUCCCAGUCCGGCAGUCCCUACCUCCCCUGGCUCCCUUCUCUAUGGCCGGAGGCCCAAUCUCCAGCACGGAAACAUGGUUCGUCGCCUCUUCCUCCUCCUCAUUGUCACGUCGCGGGAUGCAACAUGAUGCUGUAGCAGCAAUGCGACGAAAAAGUUCAGCGAGCUCGCCGCCUCCUGCAAGUGGAACCUUCCCUGGCUAAGAAGGAGGAAGGAAGGUGGGAAGUGGAGAGGAGAGAGAAAGGGAAAGUUUGGCACUCUGCACUUGAGCUCAGGUAGAAGAUGACUACGUUAAAAUUCGUGUGGAGACGUGUCACUCAAGAUGACAAGUCUUUCUGGAUGAGCGAAGGACCGAGGUCUUGUAUAAUUUUCUUCCGCGGGCGGCGGCUACGGCCAUGGAGAUCUCGCGACUCGCGGGUCGCGGCCAUGUGCCGGUGAGGUCGGCUGCUUCGCCGGCGUCUCCGCCUCCGCAUCUACGCCUGAUUGAUCCCCCCCAACCUAUCUCCACUGUGCUAUCGCGUUUCUUGCGGACUUGCGGAGGUUGUGGUUGAGGCAGUAGCCUGUGGGGCGGUGAUGCGGCGCCGAGAUCCCGCUCGUCCACGGAUUUCCGGUCGCCAUCGCCGGGAUUCGUCUUCUCCGGCCAACCCCUCGCCGCGCCGCCCGUCCUCGGCCAGGAUCUGGUCGGGAUCGCUUGUGGAUGAAUAGCGGCAUGGCAACCCAAGGGCCAAGGCCAGAGCACUAGGGCCUAGAGCCGCAGGAGUGGAGCUAGAGCGAAACAGAGGGUGGUGCCACUUGCUUAAUUUACUCUACUUUAGAUCAAGUUUAAGCUGAUACGGGUGCUUAAGUUUGUAUUGAGGAGGGUGCAUACAUGGUGAAAAUAGGUAAGGGGGACGUUGAGUUGUAAGAACUAAGAAGACCAGAUGCAUCUGCUCAGAUUUUACAGGCCUGUAUAACCAGUUAACGAGUGGCAAAAAAAAUGUCUCGCGGCCGUGUCUGAUACAUAACUUUGCCAGGAGAUCUAUCUGUUGAUGCACACAGGCUGCCAUGGCAUUGUUACCCAGUUGCUCUUACAUGCAUUUCUGCUGGCAUAAGAUGGUGGAGGUUCUGUUGUUGAACCUGGAACACAACCGGUGCUCAGAAGAAUUUUGUAUCACUACAACCUAUCAGGAUUUGAUCGAACAAUUUGGUAUGUUCAUACACAUUUGAGCAAUUGUACAGUACUCCGAAGUUGGUGUUUUCUAUCAUCUGGUAAUUGUGGAUCACUGGCAUAUCGAGGAAUUGUGGAUCACUGACAUAUGGAGGAAUUGUGGAUCACUGGCAUAUUGAGGAAUCAACCUGACAUAUAAUAUUCAGGGUGUCUUUUGUAUACGUGGAGACUGUUGUGUAUGCCAUUUUUCUGGAAUGUCAUGUAAUAUCAACGUAUCCGUAUCGCCGUACCAGUAUCACGUAUCCGUGCAUCACAAAUAGCCAUAUUAUUUUCUAUAUCGAUAUUUAUGAUUAAAUUGAGUUAAGAAUUUCUUUUGUUGUGCGGAUAACUGCACUGAUUGCAAAUCUGCCAAUGAGUACUA
Molecule: non-coding RNA, 1655 nt
Organism: Oryza sativa Japonica Group (Japanese rice)
Lineage: Eukaryota; Viridiplantae; Streptophyta; Magnoliopsida; Poales; Poaceae
Source: RefSeq, a predicted model, not a curated record